RNAcentral lists this ribosomal RNA (400 nucleotides) under uncultured bacterium. RNAcentral's name for it is "bacterial SSU rRNA". It matches the Rfam family "Bacterial small subunit ribosomal RNA", at positions 355 to 766 of the family's 1533-position model. The record is from RNAcentral.
UGGGGAAUAUUGCACAAUGGGCGCAAGCCUGAUGCAGCGACGCCGCGUGGGGGAUGACGGCCUUCGGGUUGUAAACUCCUUUCGACAGGGACGAAGCUUUGGUGACGGUACCUGUAGAAGAAGCACCGGCUAACUACGUGCCAGCAGCCGCGGUAAUACGUAGGGUGCGAGCGUUGUCCGGAAUUACUGGGCGUAAAGAGCUCGUAGGUGGUUUGUCGCGUCGUCUGUGAAAUCCCGGGGCUUAACUUCGGGCGUGCAGGCGAUACGGGCAUAACUUGAGUGCUGUAGGGGAGACUGGAAUUCCUGGUGUAGCGGUGAAAUGCGCAGAUAUCAGGAGGAACACCAAUGGCGAAGGCAGGUCUCUGGGCAGUAACUGACGCUGAGGAGCGAAAGCAUGGGU